GUUUUCGCUGAGGAGAAGCAUGAAACGGACUGGUUGGCUCUCCCCAGUCCCUUUCCCCGCCCUGACCCCCUCCUGGCUCUCUGGGAUUUAGUCCCUGUGGAGUAUCCCCUCCACCCCGCCGCCGUUUCCUCGGUCCUCGGAUGGGUGGAAGUUACUGCCCUCGAGGAGGCAGCGGCAGCCGCCCUCGCCUCGCCGCCCCCGAUUCGGUGCCCGUGGGCCCGGAGAGAAGGUGCCGCCGCCACCGCCGCUCCCCCCAACCCGCUGCCCUCGGGCCGGGCUGGGUCGAGCUGCGAUGCCCUCGGACUUCAUCUCAUUGCUCAGCGCGGACCUAGACCUGAAAUCGCCCAAGUCCCUGUACUCGCGAGACCCCUCCUUCAAAGGUGUUAGGUCAGCUAUGGGCAUGGUCAAAGGGGCCAGGAGCCAAGUCAUACCCUUCUGCCAAGUCAGACUCCUCCUCGCAUGACAGAAACUGGGGCCCCUGGCAUUUCCCUGAAGAGGCAGCGGACCUUUGGUGCGAUAAACAACUCUGGAUGCAGCCACUCGCGCCCGAUCUGCACUGGGGGACCUGCCCAACUGCCACCUCACUCAGCCAACCCCCACCCCAAAAAAUCACAGAUAUGCCUCCCUCGCUCUGCCCUGGGCGUGACUUCACCGGCCCUGUCUGUGGACCGGUGAACCUCGCCUGGGAGCACAGAAUAAAGCACUCACCUUUCU
This is a long non-coding RNA of Rhinolophus ferrumequinum (greater horseshoe bat), 714 nucleotides long. RefSeq lists it as uncharacterized. The record is from RefSeq and is a predicted model, not a curated record. Lineage: Eukaryota; Metazoa; Chordata; Mammalia; Chiroptera; Rhinolophidae. The transcript is spliced from 2 exons.